CGCAUCUGUGCAUGCAGCAUAUCAAUAAGCGGAGGAAAAGAAACUAACAAGGAUUCCCCUAGUAACGGCGAGUGAAGCGGGAAGAGCUCAAAUUUGAAAUCUUAAAGGGUUUCCCUUUACGAAUUGUAGUUUAAAGAAGUGUUUUCUGUUGAGGUUUUGGUAAAAGUUCUUUGGAAUAGGACAUCAUAGAGGGUGAGAAUCCCGUAUUUGACCUUUACUUUCCAACUUUGUGAUACACUUUCAAAGAGUCGGAUUGUUUGGGAAUGCAGUCCAAAAUGGGUGGUAAAUUUCAUCUAAAGCUAAAGUAUUGGCGAGAGACCGAUAGCGAACAAGUACCGUGAGGGAAAGAUGAAAAGAACUUUGAAAAGAGAGUUAAACAGUACGUGAAAUUGUCAAAAGGGAAGCGUUUGACACCAGUGUUGUUUUUCUGAAAAUCAAUUAAAGAACUGUUUAUGCUAAGUUGUUUAGACUUUAUCAGCUAUCUGUUUAGUUUUGAGCUUUUCUUUAAUGCACUUUUCAGUUAACAAGUCAACAUCAAUUUCUUUUGCUGUAAAAAAGCUUGAGGAAGGUGGCUUGAGAUUCGUCUUAAGUGUUUAUAGCCUCUUGCCUAUGCAGUCGGAGAGAUUGAGGUCUGCAGCGUAGAUCCUUCGGGGCUAAAUGCAUUUGUGCUAAGUUAUAGCAUUUUAUAGACAACUUGUUGACUAUGAUUUGUCUUGUAGCUUACUCGCUUAUGUUAUUUUACCUACGCUUAGGAUGUUGAGUCGUAGAGCACGCAG
RNAcentral lists this ribosomal RNA (776 nucleotides) under uncultured Neocallimastigales. RNAcentral's name for it is "partial large subunit ribosomal RNA". It matches the Rfam family "Eukaryotic large subunit ribosomal RNA", at positions 26 to 628 of the family's 3401-position model. Lineage: Eukaryota; Fungi; Neocallimastigomycota; Neocallimastigomycetes; Neocallimastigales. The record is from RNAcentral.